CAUGCAAGUCGAGGGGCAGCGCGGGAUAGCAAUAUCCUGGCGGCGACCGGCGGAAGGGUGCGUAACGCGUGAGCGACAUGCCCGUUGCCCGGGGACAACCGGUGGAAACGCCGACUAAUCCCCGAUGGGAUAUUGUGCCGCAUGGCACGAUAUUGAAAGUUACGGCGGCGACGGAUUGGCUCGCGUCCGAUUAGCUUGUUGGCGGGGUAACGGCCCACCAAGGCUACGAUCGGUAGGGGUUCUGAGAGGAAGGCCCCCCACAAUGGGACUGAGACACGGCCCAUACUCCUACGGGAGGCAGCAGUGAGGAAUAUUGGUCAAUGGGCGGAAGCCUGAACCAGCCAUGCCGCGUGCGGGAAGGAGGCCCUAUGGGCUGUGAACCGCUUUUGCCUGGGGGCAAUAAGGGCGUCGCGCACGCCCGAUGAGAGUACCAGGCGAAUAAGCAUCGGCUAACUCCGUGCCAGCAGCCGCGGUAAUACGGGGGAUGCGAGCGUUAUCCGGAUUCAUUGGGUUUAAAGGGUGCGUAGGCUGUGCGUCAAGUCGGGGGUGAAAUUCCGGUGCUCAACACCGGGGCUGCCCUUGAUACUGUCGCGCU
This 595-nucleotide ribosomal RNA is filed under the name uncultured bacterium. Its description in RNAcentral is "bacterial SSU rRNA". It matches the Rfam family "Bacterial small subunit ribosomal RNA", at positions 54 to 642 of the family's 1533-position model. The record is from RNAcentral.